CGGUGUUUAACUGGCGUGAUGUGGGACGUCCUACCGGUGGGCUUAGCCUCGCGAGGGGCGGCCCAACUAAUAUCCCGUCGCGGUGCUCUUUACUGAGUGUCGAGUCGGGCCGGUACGUUUACUUUGAACAAAUUAGAGUGCUUAAAGCAGGCUAUCCUCGCCUGAAUACUGCGUGCAUGGAAUAAUGGAAUAGGACCUCGGUUCUAUUUUGUUGGUUUUCGGAACCCCGAGGUAAUGAUUAAUAGGGACAGAUGGGGGCAUUCGUAUUGCGACGUUAGAGGUGAAAUUCUUGGAUCGUCGCAAGACGGACAGAAGCGAAAGCAUUUGCCAAAAAUGUUUUCAUUAAUCAAGAACGAAAGUUAGAGGUUCGAAGGCGAUCAGAUACCGCCCCUAGUUCUAACCAUAAACGAUGCCAGCUAGCGAUCCGCCGAAGUUCCUCCGAUGACUCGGCGGGCAGCUUCCGGGAAACCAAAGCUUUUGGGUUCCGGGGGAAGUAUGGUUGCAAAGCUGAAACUUAAAGGAAUUGACGGAAGGGCACCACCAGGAGUGGAGCCUGCGGCUUAAUUUGACUCAACACGGGAAACCUCACCAGGCCCAGACACCGGAAGGAUUGACAGAUUGAUAGCUCUUUCUUGAUUCGGUGGGUGGUGGUGCAUGGCCGUUCUUAGUUGGUGGAGCGAUUUGUCUGGUUAAUUCCGAUAACGAACGAGACUCUAGCCUGCUAAAUAGGCGUACCUUAUGGUAUCGCGAAGGCCCCCGGCUUCGGCCGGUGGGUUUUUACUACCAACGUACAAACAAAUCUUCUAGAGGGACAGGCGG
Molecule: ribosomal RNA, 819 nt
Filed under: uncultured eukaryote
Lineage: Eukaryota
Description: SSU rRNA
Rfam family: Eukaryotic small subunit ribosomal RNA
Source: RNAcentral